CAGCACCUCAAGUGGUCAGGAUGAUUAUUGGGCCUAAAGUAUCCGUAGCCGGCUCUGUAAGUUUUCGGUUAAAUCUGUAUGCUCAACAUACAGGCUGCCGGGAAUACUGCAGAGCUAGGGAGUGGGAGAGGUAGACGGUACUCGGUAGGAAGGGGUAAAAUCCUUUGAUCUAUUGAUGACCACCUGUGGCGAAGGCGGUCUACCAGAACACGUCCGACGGUGAGGGAUGAAAGCUGGGGGAGCAAACCGGAUUAGAGACCCGAGUAGUCC
RNAcentral lists this ribosomal RNA (270 nucleotides) under uncultured archaeon. Its description in RNAcentral is "partial 16S ribosomal RNA". It matches the Rfam family "Archaeal small subunit ribosomal RNA", at positions 477 to 747 of the family's 1478-position model. The record is from RNAcentral.